GGGGGAAUCGGUUAAUGGCAAACCACUGGUCUCCAAAACCAGGACUGGGGGUUCAAGUCCCUCUUCCCCCGCAA
Molecule: transfer RNA, 74 nt
Filed under: Elusimicrobia bacterium GWA2_38_7
Lineage: Bacteria; Pseudomonadati; Elusimicrobiota
Also listed under: 3 other names
Description: tRNA-Trp
Rfam family: tRNA
About the family: Transfer RNA (tRNA) molecules are approximately 80 nucleotides in length. Their secondary structure includes four short double-helical elements and three loops (D, anti-codon, and T loops).
Source: RNAcentral